GGUGGCCACUUGGUGCGAUCAUGUAUGAGAUACUCGUGGGAUAUCCACCAUUCUAUUCUGAUAAGCCUAUGUCAACCUAUAGAAAGGAUUUGAAAGGAAAAGUUGUAAUUUCUAAGAAGUCCAUUCGAGACAGGUAUUCAAAAUGAAGAAAAAGAUGAAGAAAGUGAUGAAGACAUUGACCUUACUUGAGAAGAUUUUUGGGUUGUUGAUAAAUGCUCUAAUAUCAAUAGUUUUGUGUUGAAUUUCUUGAAACUUAUCACGACUCGAACUUGCUACUAUAUAAAAACUUAAAUUACUAGCUUGUUGCAUAUUUUGGAUUAUGAGAUUAUUAAUGAAUGAUUUUGUUUUGUGAUGUAUAUAUAUUGUGUCAUAAUUUAUUAUGUAUGUAAAUAAAAAUUUACAUUAA
Long non-coding RNA from Capsicum annuum, 406 nucleotides. RefSeq lists it as uncharacterized. The record is from RefSeq and is a predicted model, not a curated record. Lineage: Eukaryota; Viridiplantae; Streptophyta; Magnoliopsida; Solanales; Solanaceae. The transcript has 3 exons.